Non-coding RNA from Pelobates cultripes (western spadefoot toad), 236 nucleotides. The record is from the annotation of a GenBank genome assembly. Lineage: Eukaryota; Metazoa; Chordata; Amphibia; Anura; Pelobatidae.
CCAUAAACACUUCCUGUAAAGAGAGCCCUAUUUAGGCUUUCUUUAUUGCAAGUUCUGUUUAAUUAAGAUUUUCUUAUCCCCUGCUAUGUUAAUAGCUUGCAAGACCCUUCAAGAGCCUCCUGUGUGUGAUUAAAGUUCAAUUUAGAGAUUGAGAUACAAUUAUUUAAGGUAAAUUACAUCUGUUUGAAAGUGAACCUAGUUUUUUUUUUCAUGCAGGCUCUGUCAAUCAUAGCCAG